This 818-nucleotide ribosomal RNA is filed under the name uncultured archaeon. Its description in RNAcentral is "bacterial SSU rRNA". It matches the Rfam family "Archaeal small subunit ribosomal RNA", at positions 34 to 857 of the family's 1478-position model. The record is from RNAcentral.
UGGGAUUCGACUAUACCAUGCGANNNGAGAGGGUUCGGCCCUCGGCUGACGGCUCAGUAACACGUGGAUAAUCUGCCCUUAGGUGGAGGAUACCCUCGGGAAACUGAGAAUAAUACUCCAUAGGUCUAGGAUGCUGGAAUGCACCUAGGCUGAAAACUCCGGUGCCUAAGGAUGAGUCUGCGGACUAUCAGGUUGUAGUCAGGGUAAUGACCUGACUAGCCUACGACGGAUACGGGUUGUGAGAGCAAUAACCCGGAGAUGAUAUCUGAGACACGAUAUCAGGCCCUACGGGGCGCAGCAGGCGCGAAAACUUCACAAUGUGCGAAAGCACGAUGAGGGAAUCCCAAGUGCUUGCUCGUAAGAGUAAGCUGUUUCUAUGUUUAAAACGCAUAGAGAGUAAGGGCUGGGUAAGACGGGUGCCAGCCGCCGCGGUAAUACCUGCAGCUCAAGUGGUGGCCGCUAUUAUUGGGCCUAAAACGUCCGUAGCCGGUUUGAUAAAUGCCUGGGUAAAUCGUGUAGCUUAACUAUACGAAUUCCGGGUAGACUGUUAAACUUGAGACCGGGAGAAGUUAGAGGUACUCCUGGGGUAGAGGUGAAAUUCUGUAAUCCUAGGGGGACCACCAGUGGCGAAGGCGUCUGACUAGAACGGGUCUGACGGUGAGGGACGAAGCCCUGGGGCGCAAACCGGAUUAGAUACCCGGGUAGUCCAGGGUGUAAACGCUGCUUGCUUGAUGUUAGUUGGGCUCCGAGCCCAAUUAGUGUCGGAGAGAAGUUGUUAAGCAAGCUGCCUGGGAAGUACGGUCGCAAGACUGAAACUU